UUUCGCAAUGCCCGAAAGGGUGACGAAGCGACGCCGCGUGUGGGAAGAAGGCCUUCGGGUUGUAAAACACUGUCGGGAGUUAAGAAAUGUAAGGGUGCUAAUAGUAUCCUUACUUGACUAAGGCUCCGGAGGAAGCCACGGCUAACUCUGUGCCAGCAGCCGCGGUAAUACAGAGGCGGCAAGCGUUGUUCGGAAUUAUUGGGCGUAAGGAGCACGUAGGCGGCCUUGUAAGUCAGUUGUGAAAGCCUUCUGCUUAACGGAAGAACAGCAUCUGAUACUGCAAGGCUAGAGUGCGGAAGGGGAGAGUGGAACUUCUGGUGGAGCGGUGAAAUGCGUAGAUAUCAGAAGGAACACCGGCGGCGAAUGCGACUCUCUGGUCCGUAACUGACGCUGAGUGUGCGAAAGCUAGGGGAGCAAACGGGAUUAGAUACCCCGGUAGUCCUAGCCGUAAACGAUGGGCACUAAGUAGAGGGGUUUUA
Molecule: ribosomal RNA, 479 nt
Filed under: uncultured Planctomycetota bacterium
Lineage: Bacteria; Pseudomonadati; Planctomycetota
Description: bacterial SSU rRNA
Rfam family: Bacterial small subunit ribosomal RNA
Source: RNAcentral